CGGACUUUGGUAACACCGUCAAAGCAUUGAGAAGCAAGAAGAAGCUUGGUUACUGUUUUGGAGUGAAAUAUGACUAGAUGUUUUGUGUAUCAUUGAGUAUAAGCACUAGAACCGCAACCGGAUCAUAAAACCCCAAGAAGUGUUUCCUUGUUAGAAAAUACAAAGCGGAACACACAUACGGACUUCGGCUACACCAUCAAAGCUU
This 205-nucleotide small RNA is filed under the name Arabidopsis thaliana (thale cress). Its description in RNAcentral is "ATSL199060". Lineage: Eukaryota; Viridiplantae; Streptophyta; Magnoliopsida; Brassicales; Brassicaceae. The record is from RNAcentral.